CAGCAGCCACGGUAAUACGAAGGGUGCAAGCGUUACUCGGAAUUACUGGGCGUAAAGCGUGCGUAGGUGGUGGUUUAAGUCCGUUGUGAAAGCCCUGGGCUCAACCUGGGAAUUGCAGUGGGUACUGGGUCACUAGAGUGUGGUAGAGGAUAGUGGAAUUUCCGGUGUAGCAGUGAAAUGCGUAGAGAUCGGAAGGAACAUCUGUGGCGAAGGCGACUAUCUGGGCCAACACUGACACUGAGGCACGAAAGCGUGGGGAGCAAACAGGAUUAGAUACCCCCGUAGUCCCUGUCUCUUAUAC
RNAcentral lists this ribosomal RNA (301 nucleotides) under uncultured bacterium. RNAcentral describes it as "partial 16S ribosomal RNA". It matches the Rfam family "Bacterial small subunit ribosomal RNA", at positions 509 to 807 of the family's 1533-position model. The record is from RNAcentral.